RNAcentral lists this ribosomal RNA (467 nucleotides) under uncultured bacterium. RNAcentral describes it as "partial 16S ribosomal RNA". It matches the Rfam family "Bacterial small subunit ribosomal RNA", at positions 28 to 507 of the family's 1533-position model. The record is from RNAcentral.
GACGAACGCUGGCGGCGUGCUUAACACAUGCAAGUCGAACGGAAAGGCCUCUUUCGGGGGGUACUCGAGUGGCGAACGGGUGAGUAACACGUGAGUAACCUGCCCUUGACUUUGGGAUAACUUCAGGAAACUGGGGCUAAUACCGGAUAGGAGCUCCUGCUGCAUGGUGGGGGUGGGAAAGUUUCGGCGGUUGGGGAUGGACUCGCGGCUUAUCAGCUUGUUGGUGGGGUAGUGGCUUACCAAGGCUUUGACGGGUAGCCGGCCUGAGAGGGUGACCGGCCACAUUGGGACUGAGAUACGGCCCAGACUCCUACGGGAGGCAGCAGUGGGGAAUAUUGCACAAUGGGUGGAAGCCUGAUGCAGCAACGCCGUGUGCGGGAUGACGGCCUUCGGGUUGUAAACCGCUUUCGCUCAUGACGAAGCUUUGCGUGACGGUAGUGGGUAAAGAAGCACCGGCUAACUACGUG